Molecule: unclassified non-coding RNA, 298 nt
Filed under: uncultured Sordariomycetes
Lineage: Eukaryota; Fungi; Ascomycota; Sordariomycetes
Description: sequence contains ITS1
Rfam family: 5.8S ribosomal RNA (bases 1-105)
Source: RNAcentral
GAAAUGCGAUAAGUAAUGUGAAUUGCAGAAUUCAGUGAAUCAUCGAAUCUUUGAACGCACAUUGCGCCCGCCAGUAUUCUGGCGGGCAUGCCUGUUCGAGCGUCAUUUCAACCAUCAAGCGCCCCGCUUGUGUUGGGGCCCUGCGGCUGCCGCAGACCCCUAAAUCCAGUGGCGGGCUCGUCGUCGUACCGAGUGCAGUAAACAUCCUCGCUCCGGGAACGCCGCGGGUCUCUUGCCGUGAAACACCCCCCAUAUCAAGGUUGACCUCGGAUCAGGUAGGAAUACCCGCUGAACUUAA